This 492-nucleotide ribosomal RNA is filed under the name uncultured bacterium. RNAcentral's name for it is "partial 16S ribosomal RNA". It matches the Rfam family "Bacterial small subunit ribosomal RNA", at positions 29 to 507 of the family's 1533-position model. The record is from RNAcentral.
AGUGAACGCUGGCGGCAGGCCUAACACAUGCAAGUCGAACGGCAGCACAGUAAAAGUUGGUUCUUUCGGGUUGCGUGUCGCGGGCGGGAGUGAAACACAUCGAACUCUACUUUUUCGGGGGGGAAAAAGUAGGGAAACUCACGCUAAUACCCCAUACGACUAACGUGUGAAUGCAGGAGAGCUUCGGACCUUGCUCGAUUGAUUGAGCCGCUCUGGGGUUAGCGAGUUGGCGGGGUAAAGGCCCACCAAGGCGACGAUCCGUAGCUGGUCUGAGAGGAUGAUCGGCCACACUGGAACUGGGCCACGGCCCAGACUCCUACGGGAGGCAGCAGUGGGGAAUUUUGGACAAUGGGCGCAAGCCUGAUCCAGCAAUCCCGCGGGGGUGAAGAAGGCCUUCGGGUGGUAAAGCCCUUUUGUCGGGAAAGAAAGGCAUCUGGUUAAUACCGAGCUGUUCUGACGGUACCGGAAGAAUAAGCACCGGCUAACUACGUG